Molecule: ribosomal RNA, 419 nt
Filed under: uncultured Methanoculleus sp.
Lineage: Archaea; Methanobacteriati; Methanobacteriota; Methanomicrobia; Methanomicrobiales; Methanomicrobiaceae
Description: bacterial SSU rRNA
Rfam family: Archaeal small subunit ribosomal RNA
Source: RNAcentral
CCUAGGGGGGCUGCAGGCGCGAAACCUUUACAAUGCGGGCAACCGUGAUAAGGGAACCUCGAGUGCCUGUAAACGCAGGCUGUUCAGGUGUUUAAAACGCACCUGGAGAAAGGGCCGGGCAAGACCGGUGCCAGCCGCCGCGGUAAUACCGGCGGCUCGAGUGGUGGCCGCUUUUAUUGGGCUUAAAGCGUUCGUAGCUGGGUUGUUAAGUCUCUUGGGAAAUCUGGCGGCUUAACCGUCAGGCGUCUAAGGGAUACUGGCAAUCUUGGAACCGGGAGAGGUGAGGGGUACUUCGGGGGUAGGGGUGAAAUCCUGUAAUCCUCGAGGGACCACCUGUGGCGAAGGCGCCUCACCAGAACGGCUUCGACAGUGAGGGACGAAAGCUGGGGGAGCAAACCGGAUUAGAUACCCCAGUAGUC